This 429-nucleotide long non-coding RNA is filed under the name Medicago truncatula (barrel medic). Its description in RNAcentral is "long non-coding RNA (MTRU_LNC007666)". The record is from RNAcentral. Lineage: Eukaryota; Viridiplantae; Streptophyta; Magnoliopsida; Fabales; Fabaceae.
UCCCAUCCCGUACGUAUCAGAGCCUUAGACAUUUGAGCCACCACCUAUUACUCAGGAUCACUUGCAAGUUACCCAUAGGAAGGGCAACAUUUUCAAGCAGAAGGGGUGAGAUUCACAACAAUAAAUAUAGAUAAUAAAUUCAUCAAUUGAAUCUAACACCCUAUCAUAAUAAUAAUUCAUCAAUAUAUAAAUAUAUCAUCAUUAACGACAUCAACAACAAAUGGUAAUUAAAACCAACAACGUCGACUCAUGCAACUACUCAACGACUCCACUAAGACUCCUCAACAAUGCACAUGCAUGUGGUACCAUAUUCAGGGCAGAAACCCUCACCGCUAAUUAAAUGGUUAAAGCAUUCAUUCAGGACAUAAGUCCUCACCGCUAAUCACCGCUUUGAACAACAAAGUGUUCCACCGCUUUGAACGACAAGGC